CUAAAAUGGAUUUUACUGAUGCUAGAUAUGGACAGAGUUAAGUAUUGCUGUUACAGCUAUUAUCUGUUCUUUUCUUUGGUGGGUGGGAGUUUGAGCCUAGGCAUUGUAGAGUUCUUAUGCUUCUCUUUUUAAGCAUAAGCUGUUUAACCUGAGUCUUAAAGAGGAACUUUGUGGAGUUAAUUGAUGACAUAUUUAUGGACUCAUGACAAAGGUCAUAGUACAAGUCAAUUUUAUAAAAGAACAUGCCAGUCAGGUGCAAUAGGAAUCCAGCAGAAUACAAGAAGAAAGUCGUUUACAGGCUAUCGAGUGCAGGGAAAGGAGGCGCAUUAAGUGGCAAGGGGUCUGGUAUUUCUCUGUGGCUAGAAAGAAGCAUGGUGUGUUUUUCAAGCCCUGACCGGAGCAUCCAGUGCUGUCUCCAUGACAUGUAUAUCUGAGGCCUGACUAGAAAUACGAUUGGAAUGAAUAUUCACCAUCUGGAUUUCUGACAUAGGACACAUCACCUUUUAAAGAUGUGUCCAUUAAUUCAAAGCUGAAGCAGAAGGAUGACAAAUGCCUGGAGUUCCUCCACUCCUCAUAAAAGCGAUGGACUGUGCGCAGACUCCCUAAAAGGCAUGGGAUGAUCUCACUCUUCAAACAACUCAUUUAGCAUUAGCAAGUUCAUCUGCUGUUAGACAACAUGCAAGACUUUACAAUGUCCAUCCUGCCAGGCUUGUAAAUAUCACUAUAACAGAGUCUCAACAUGUCACACCCAGCAACCUUUGCUACUGAAUGAAACAUUUGUUUCCAGAUUGGGGUCUUUAUCCUUAGAUGGAAGGCAUUUCCCAGUUUGAUUAGUGCACCUGUGGUGAUGGGGAAUAAAGCAAGGCAGCAUUGGCAUCCCUGAUUAUCGUUCACACAUGACUCCUUAAAAUGUGGGUUAUAUAGCUCCAAAAGAAACUGAUGUACUGUACAUCGUGUAUUGUAUGCUCACUUUAGCAUCAUUUUAGUCUAAAAAUUAGACAUCCCACUGCCAAAAACUCAGUUUGACUCUGGCUUCUUAUUCCAUGAUAUCAGGAGGCUAGUUUGUCAGCUAUGACAGCACUCAUUUGACCCCUCAGCGUGCUAAGCCAGCCUUACAGUAGAAGGGCUGGCCCUGGAGGGGUUAGCCAACUGUACUUGGGUCCUGGAACUAUCAGGCACAGCUUCAUGGCUGCCAGCAAACAGGCAGCACAAAGCUGGGAUUGUGAGAAAUUAGGUCUUGUCAGUAGUGGGCUGAGAUGGCAAAACGACAUUGUACCAGUAGCACAAUAGGUGUUCAGUUCGCAGAGCCAGGUCCAGCCUUCAGAGCAGGGCUUUCCAAAACAGUUUAACCUCUGGAUUUUCUGUAACCACUCUGCUCUCAUUUCAAGAGCGAGGCAGGGGAUAAGAACAGCUCAGGAAUACAGUAUCAAAAAGCAUUCCUGCUUACAGAGCCCUCAGAGCCAAAUCUGAAACACAGGAAUAGUUAUGAACUGUACAGUGUAUUUGAUAGCUGGCAAGACCCCUUCCCCAGAUGGAUGGGGGGUGGGGUGGGGAGGAGGGGAAGAGGACUUGUUCUUCCAGACUCGAAAACUCGUUACAGAUCCUGCAGAAUUAAAAUUGCAUCCUGUGAAUCUUGGAUUACAAGCAUACCACCACCCCAAACAGGCUUAAGAUAUAAUAAUAUAAUCUUGGUAAGGUUACUCCGGUACUUCAGAGCCACAUGACCAUGCUAUUUAAGAGAGAUAUAUUUGUAUGAUUCAACAGAGAUACAUGCAUCCUCGCGUUUCAUUGAGGCCUCUGGUUCCGUAACUAGCCUUGUGGGCACAAGCACUCAAAGUGUUAACAGGAAAUACAACCCACACAGCCACAGAUACAUCUCUAUUCAACCUGAUGAAAUCAACCCUUUGAUACGGAUAGUUAGAGCCCUGCUUGCUCCUUGGCCCUGCGGCAGCACCAUUUUGUAUGCCACCUGCCCUUGUGGAAUCUCCUCUUUAGGGACUUCAUCUAAGCUCCUUCCAGAUCCCUAAAAAGCGCUCAUGCUUAUUUUAUUGCAAAUUGAGUGGUGGUGCAGCCAUCCACCAUCUACAGAGCAUUGGAGGAAGCUGGUCAAUUGAGUGCCAUAUUGAGGAGCAGCAAAGAGGAGGUGCAGGAGAACAAGUGGGUGCUGGAGUACCUUAGAGGGUUAAGAUGAAACAAUGGGCAUUCUCCCCACAAAUUCCCCUGAAGGAGACAUGGCAUGGAGGACAGAGGAUGAAGUUCAAUUCUCAGAUUCACGUCUCUACCCUGUAGCACUGGGCUGCCAUUUACGCAGGCUAGAAGAUUGUGCCAAGCUCUUCCCCGGAGAGGGUGCGAAAGGGCUUGAGGGUACCCCAGAGGAAGGAAAUCCCAAGUGCACCUUCCUGGGUUCUCAAAGGGGUUUUUGCACUUGGUUGGUGGCAGCGUCUACCCAUCCAAGGUCAGAGAAAAGCUGUAAUCUUGGAAGUUUAAUACAAGCCUGGAGUGGCCAGUAUUAAUUUUUAGAAUCCUUGUGGGCUCAGAGUGCCAGAGUAUGGAAUCAGCCUUGACACCAUGCAAGAAUUCAAGAAAUCAAGUGGCCACUUCUUUGCUCUCAUCCCAAAGUGUAGAAGUAGUUCAAAUAGAUACACCAUUGCAUCCAGCACCCUUUCCACACUUCAGGAUUUUCAUGGCUACUGCUAGCUCCGCAGUGUUGACCUGCACAUUGAGGAAUCUACAAUCUCUCAAGUGACAGCAGAGUUCCUGCUUAGCCUGUUUUGUUUUGCACUUUGCUUUGUGGGCUGGUUUACCAUUUAGGAUGAGUUGGUGUGCAACUUGGUUGGGAGAGACUGUGACGAUAGGCUUUGGUUGAUGUCCAUUAGGGUUAAGCUUGCAAAUGGUGACCCAUGCUUUUUGCUAUUACGGCACAUGCUUGUUGUUUCAAUCAGCUCCCCCAGAGGUUGUGCCACUCCUUAUUUCCCUGAACCUGAUGGUUUCUUCACUGAAGGGAUCCAAGUCAAACAGUUCUGAAUCUCUCUUAUAUUGUUGGCUGGUUUGUUCUGAAAGUCCAGGCACAUCUAGUGUCUGACAUCUCCUGGAGAUGGGCUUUUGGGCAAUCUUCAACACUAGGGAGACAAGUUUGCCAGAGUGCUUGUGGGUUGGAGUAUUAUUACCGACAGAUCAGCCUUUUGGAAGUUGAAUCUCAUCAGGUGCCUUGUUUUCCUGGAUUAUACUGCAGCCUCUAUUGUCACUUACACUAGUCUGUGCUGCCAUCUUGGGAACACCUCCCUUCUGAAGCUCCCUAUAUUUUCAGAGGUGACAAAAGCUAUGUCGGAAUGAGGGGUGCAAUCCCUACAUGAGCUUUGAAAGGUACAUUUAUCCUUGAAAUUGUACAACAAGGUCUAGUUUGUUGCCUCCCACUUCAUAACUUCUUCCCCAUUGUAGUAGUAUCCUCAGAUGGUUGUGUGACUGGGGAAGUCGCCUAUGACAAGGCACGAUUUUUCUGACAGAGGAACGUCAGUUGGCCAUGCAAAUUGUUCACUAAGUGGUUUGCAGACAAACUACUGCUAUUUGGUCAAGCUCAACCACAAGAGUUCCACUGUAGAUUGAUGUUUCACAGCAGUAUUUUUCAUCUAUCUUUUGUCACAUACAAGUAUUGUGCUACUAUAGGUGUUGCUUUUGAUGUUCACUGCUUUAUGCAUACCAGGGAUGUUUGGUUGUCUCUGUCUUGCAGGCACAGGAGGUCUGCUUUCUUGCCAGAUAUGUCAGCUUUCUCUGCAGAGAAUCCCUCCACACUGGAGUUACUCAAUAGACUCAGACUUUAAGGCCAGAAAGAACAAUCAUGAUCAUCUAGUCUGACCUCCUGAAACAUUGCAGCCCACAGAACCUCACCAGUCCCCUUCACUAAUAGGCCCAUAACCUCUGGCUGAGUUACUGAAGUCCUCAAAUCAUGAUGUAAAGAUUUCAAGUUACAGAGAAUCCAUCAUUUACACCAGUUGAAACCCGCAAGUGACCUGUACCCCAUGCUGCAGGGGAAGGUGCAAAAACCAAAACCAAAACACAGGUCUCUGACAACCUGAUUCAGGGAAAAUUCCUUCCCGACUCCAAAUACAGCGAUCAGUGAGACACUGAGCAGGUGGACAAGACCCAGCAGCCAUAUAUCAGGGAAAGAAUUCUCUGUAGUAACUCAGAGCUUUCGCACCUAGUGUUCCAUCAGUGGCCACUAGAGAUAUUUGCUACUAGCAGUCGCAGAUCAACUACAUGCCAUCACAGGCAGUCUCAUCAUAUCAUCUCCUCCAUAAAUGUAUCAAGCUCGGCCUUGAAGCCAGUUAAGUUUUUCAGCCCUAGUACUCCCCUUGGAAGGCUGUUCCAGAAUUUCACUCCUCUGAGGGUUAGAAACUUUCAUCUAAUUUCAGGCCUCAACUUGCUGAUGGCCAGUUUAUAUCCAUUUGUUCUUGCGUCAACACUGGUGCCUAACUUAAGUAACUCUUCCCCCUCCCCAGUAUUUAUCCUUUGACAACUGCAAUUGGGGUCAUAUUUUGAAAAUUGUUUGCAACAAUAACAGCUUUUUUUUGUUUUAAAACUGAAGUAGAGACUCAGAGAAACUGAGAAGCCAACCCACCCAUAUCUCCACCUGAGCCAGUCCUUCAGGGAAAUGGCCUACUUAGGUAAAUGCUGCUUUAGAGAAUGUGCAAGAAUUGCCAAGUGGAUGCCAGCUGAGACUUGAUUUAUUGCCACCACUCAAAGCUCAGAAACUUUUCUCACCAGGGACAUCAUUACUCAAGAGAAGUCAUUAGUUAGCCUUUCAUUUCCAAUUGCUGCACGAAAUCAAAAGUAGGUCUUAACCUAAUAAAAGUUGAAGAGGUCAUGCAAUUCUCCUGCAUAAUACGAGAAGAAGCACAAUGACUUGCACUGAGUGCACACAACUCUCCUGUGUAUUAGGUUGAAAAUUCUUCUAUUCCAUCCUCUUCAUAUGUACAAAAAAAAAAAAAACCCUAAGAGGGCCACUAUGCAAUGCAAUUAAACAAUGGACAGGAGUUCGUCCUCUUCCAGAGUCAUCACAUUAAACAGAGCUACCAGCAGCUGCUGAACUUUGCAGCCAGAUAAGUUUUAUAGGCAAGAGCUCUGUUCAGAUUUCCAAAACUGAAUGCAGUCCUUUUGCUGAAUCUCUCAUGUUUUAUAUUUUAAUUGUUUUAUUUGUCUGUGUUAUUUGAGCUGGAAGAGACUCAUUAUCAUUCAUUUCCACCUGGAUUUGCUCUCUUCUUCCCCCUCCCCCAGAUUAAUUGGUUUAAUUAGCAAAGCAUCUCAUUCGACUGGCAAAGGGUCUUGUUCCAAAACAAUGGUGACAAAAAUAACCAUUGUUUUACUCGAAUUAAAGAUGAACUGCAAAAAAAGUUGCAGCAGCAGCAGCAUGGUGUGAAAGCCCCCCACCCCGCACUAAUCAAUCUUCGAGGAGCAUACAGCACGCACACAAGCGCUAACCCGAAUACACACAUCAUUUUAAAUUCUCUAGAGUCACCCUAGCUAGCGUCUACUCAGCUACAA
Caretta caretta (loggerhead turtle) is the source of this 5538-nucleotide long non-coding RNA. RefSeq lists it as uncharacterized. The record is from RefSeq and is a predicted model, not a curated record. NCBI's taxonomy places the organism in Eukaryota, Metazoa, Chordata, Testudines, Cheloniidae.